AGAAUCAACGCUGGCGGCGUGCCUAACACAUGCAAGUCGAACGAGAAAGUGGAGCAAUCCAUGAGUACAGUGGCGCACAGGUGAGUAACACGUGACUAACCUACCCUGGAGUGGGGGAUAACUGAGGGAAACUUUAGCUAAUACCGCAUAAUACNUACGGGGUCAAAAGGAGCAAUUCGCUUUGGGAGGGGGUCGCGGCCGAUUAGUUAGUUGGCGGGGGUAAUGGCCCACCAAGACGAUGAUCGGUAUCCGGCCUGAGAGGGCGCACGGACACACUGGAACUGAAACACGGUCCAGACUCCUACGGGAGGCAGCAGUGGGGAAUUUUGCGCAAUGGGGGAAACCCUGACGCAGCAACGCCGCGUGGAGGAUGAAGUACUUCGGUACGUAAACUCCUUUCGAUCGGGACGAUUAUGACGGUACCGGAAGAAGAAGCCCCGGCUAACUUCGUGCCAGCAGCCGCGGUAAUACGAGGGGGGCAAGCGUUGUUCGGAAUUAUUGGGCGUAAAGGGUGCGUAGGCGGUUUGGUAAGUCUUUUGUGAAAUCUAUGGGCUCAACUCAUAGACUGCAAGGGAAACUGCCGGGCUUGAGUGUGGGAGAGGUGAGUGGAAUUCCUGGUGUAGCGGUGAAAUGCGUAGAUAUCAGGAGGAACACCUGUGGCGAAAGCGGCUCACUGGACCACAACUGACGCUGAUGCACGAAAGCUAGGGGAGCAAACUAGGAUUAGAUACCCUGGUAGUCCUAGCCCUAAACGAUGACUGCUUGGUGUGACGGGUACCCUAAUCCCGCCGUGCCGUAGCUAACGCGUUAAGCUAGUCCGCCUGGGGAGUACGGUCGCAAGGCUGAA
RNAcentral lists this ribosomal RNA (847 nucleotides) under uncultured soil bacterium. Its description in RNAcentral is "bacterial SSU rRNA". It matches the Rfam family "Bacterial small subunit ribosomal RNA", at positions 26 to 898 of the family's 1533-position model. The record is from RNAcentral.